Anas platyrhynchos (mallard) is the source of this 9186-nucleotide long non-coding RNA. RefSeq lists it as uncharacterized. NCBI's taxonomy places the organism in Eukaryota, Metazoa, Chordata, Aves, Anseriformes, Anatidae. The record is from RefSeq and is a predicted model, not a curated record.
GCAGGGGAGGCAGAGCUCAGCCAGUCCUCCCACCCUCCUCAUCACCUCCAGCAUGAGGCAGCCCCCAGCUGCGGCUCCCUUGCCUUACCCUGAGGCGGGCAGUGGGGCUGGGUGAUCUGUUGGGUGGAGACCUGAUGAGCCCCAUUUUGGGGGGCACAGGUGGAGGCACUGAGGGAUAACAAAGGAAGGGAAGAAAGAGGUAUGCUCAGAGUGCUGCUGCAAGAAGCUGGGACCUGUGGUGUUGGGGGGAAUCUUCUUGUUCCUGCUUUGAGUUUGUGACCUCCACCAUGAGGCCUACUUUUAACAACCAAGCUCUGUUUGAAGAUGGACUCCUUCUCUCCUGGGCUUGCCUUCCUCGGCAGCAGACACGGAGAGGGAAACUGCUCUGCAGGGCUUUCCUGCCCGGUGAGGAAGGUCUGUGAGGAAGGUCUUGUGAGGAUAAAAAUCCUCACAAGAGCCCAUGGAGGAAACAGUGCGGCUGCUGGGUGCGUGGCAACGUGCCGUCAGAUGUCGGGACCUGGCUUGAAGGACGGAGCCCCAGCGCUGGAAUGAGGCGGUCAGUUUUCAACCUGCUAAAACACAGAGGGGAUCCCCGAGCACCUCUGCAGGACCACAGGUUUUGGACUUGCCCCAUGAGGGCUGAGCCAUGAGGAUAGUGCCUGCAGGCUGGUGGGUCCUGGCCUGUGGUGGAAGGAGCCUAGCCAACAUCAUCCCCUCAGGCUGUGGGGUGGCUGAGAGAGCACCCUGGGACUGUCAGGGUGGCAGAUAGAUUAUCAAUGUGGAAAAGAUUGAUAAGAUUGAUAUCAGGCCUGAUAAGAAAGGGACUGCGCUGAAGGGAGCACCAAGGGAAAAUGGCUCCUGGCCUCAACAGGCAGUGGUGGGGACCUCAGCCUUCGGUGCAUGUAUUUGAGGUGCUCGUGGCUUAUACCCCCUCCUCCUGGGGGUGAUUCAGACUGCUCGCACACAUUGCUGGGUUCUUGAUGAACUGUAAUCAGUAACAGGGGAAGAGACUUGAGGUCUUUGCACCGAAGCCCUCUGCUCAAUAGCUAGCAGUGAUUUUGCUUUAUUCCAUUCUUCCCCUUCAAAAAGAAAAAAUUAAAAAGGGUGAGGAUGCAUGAAGAUUGGAAUAGAAAACAUUGACAAUCUUAUCAUACUACUGUACAAAUCAAUAGCACGCACUUGACUGGAAUAAUACUGAUUGCUGUAUCCUGUGAAAGUUAUAGAGGAUUGAGAUGGGUUUUGAAACUCUGAGACUGGCCUCUUUCAAGAGGUGCCCAAACACAUUAUGGACUGCUUGGGGAAGGGCUAAGUGAAAUCCCCUAGCCUGUGUUAUGCAAAGGGUUAAGCAAGACUAUCAAAAUGGUCUGAAAAUGUAAGUCCUUGGGUAAAGCAACAAGCUCAACUACAGCCCCGGCACUGGAUGGGAGAACUUAACAGGAUGUUUCCAGCCCGAUACCGCUGUAUGUGGAAGGCCGUACCAAAGGGAAAGGAGUGAAGGGCUUCCAAAAAGACGUCCCGAGCUUGAUGCAACACCAUUUUGGUGAGACACUGGGCAGCUACGAUGUAUCCGAACAAAUCUUCACCUCAAACAACCUUGCGCAUUGAGUUUAUACAGGAGAACACGGCUAUAAAACUUGCAACUCCGCUGCUUCAACAGUGCUAAAGUGGCCAGAUGGAUUCCAACCUAGCAGUAUAAGGGCUCCCAAAUCUGCACGGUGACAUCUGAUGGCAUAUUUAGUGUUGGUGCUCAGAUGGACUUUGCUGCAGUGUUUCUUGAACACAGCUGCUAGCCUGAGCGUUCCUUAUUAAUGAAUCACAAAGAGGCACUGGGAGCGGAUGUAUAGUUGUAAGUGAUGGCUCUGCAAAUAUUUUUUUUUCCUUUGGCUUUUAAAUUACCUCCUUAGUAUUUUAGGGGUUGCAAGCUGGUGAGAGUGGUGUACUUAGGGGCCAUUUGUGUGUCUGGAAAUCGCCCUCAUAAAGCACUUCUCAGGUCAAGCUUUCAGGUGUGUUUUAUUUGGGGUGCUUCUGUAGAUGCCAGUCCAGAGCUUGUCAGGCACUUUAUGACCAUAUAUUGGGAUCUGAUACAGAGAUGGAUUCCAAGCGAGUGUAAAGCAUGCCGCCUUGCUAUGCCUUUAAAGAGCUCAUCAAUCUUCAGCAUUGGUGUUCUGGCCUGUCUUGGACCUUUGGAAUAAAGUUUCCUAAGCAGGUCUUUAUGCAAGGCCUGAGUUAGGAGCUUGAGGUUUUACUGAAUUGCCGUGUCGUAGGCGUUGUUGCACUCCUGUACUUGUGAAAAUAUCAUCGAGUUCUGCAUAGCUGGUUAUAUUCCCGAGGCUCGAGGAAACUAUUUCCCGACUGUCAGGAUCAACAAAUGGCUCCUGUAAUGCCUUUGAUCAUUUUCUUAUUUACUGACAAUUUUAUUUGUUUUACACUGCCUGAAUUUCCUUCAUAGGUCUUCCAGACGACACCAGCAUUUAAACAUAGCACUGCUGUCCUUCCAUUCUAUUCAGGUCCCCGCCACUUGCUUUUUACUUUCUCUUCUAUGGAAUUUGUGUGACCCUAGACCAGGAUGACUUCACAAGCAGAAAAUUAGCUUUCAUAAAGAACUGACUUUUUGGGAGGAGCCCCUGUGCCCAACCACAAAGUGAUAAAUCUGAGCAUGUUUUAACAGUAAGCAAAACGAUGCUUUGCUGAAUAAAUUACCCCUCCACGUUGCCCUUCUGGGAGGCACAGGAUGGUUACUUUAAUUAAGGGUGGAGGUAAGCAUGUGGUGGAUGCUAUUCACAUGGAGCCUUUCUAAGAAGAGUUGCUGGAUAUCCCUAGCCCUUCGCUACUGGUCCACCCGUGCUGUUGGUAAAUGCAGAUGAGGCAGUUGGUGCUCAGCGUAUCGUAUAAAUUUACCGUGAUUAAUCUUACCGAGCCUUUUGCCAAACAUCCCCUAGUGUCUGCUAAGCUGUUUUCUCGCAGAAGCCAGGUGGGCAGUUGGCAAGAAGUGCUCAUUAGCAGCAGGAAACGCCAGCUCUUCCUGCGCUGCACGCACCCCACCGACCAUCCUAGCAACAAAAGAGCUUGCGUAGGGGUCCACAGCUGCAUAGCCGAAGGUCUCCAAGCCAUUUCGUUGCCCCUCUGAUGCCAUAGGCAUUUUUGGCAACUCCACACACUGACCUUACUUGCUAAGAAAAAAGAAUGGCUGAAGAUGGAGCCUGGUGCUGAUGCUGUGGCUGAAGAAUGUAGAAUGAGUAGGAUUUGGCUGCCAAAUUCCUACAGCUUCCACUUGGCUAAGGUACCCUAAGGUAAAUUCGCAUCUAUUUGGGAUGAUGCCAGCACGUGCAUGGAAAUUAGGAUCCAUUUUCUCAGUUAUCUCCUACUUGUGCUCUGCAGUCCAGGUUACGUAGUGAUUCCCAGCUUCAUACCUCUGAACUCUCACCUGCUCUUGCUUUGGAGGCGCUGAACUGAUGCACAGCCAUGGGCAGCUGCAGAAUCACAGGUGACUUGGUCCACAGCUGCUAGCAUGCCUCUGGCUGCACAAAAGAGCUGUCUCAAGAAGCUCCUCUGAGCCUCUCUUCCUGGAGGGUGACCAUGGGAAGAGGAGAACCUUGUUAUUUAUUUUUUUUUUUUCCUGAAGUGUGCAGUGGCUGCUGUUCCCUUGUACCUGGCAACAGCAGAGUGGUUUUGUAGCGAUAGCUCUGGGUUGGAGGGCUCCUGAACAAGUCACGUACCAGAGGAAAAGGGGAGAUGAACAUCUAGCUUUUAGGAUCUGCUUUGUUCUCAUCUCCUGCAACUUUUCUCCUCUUGCCUGUUUUUCCUUUCUCUCAUAGCUCUGUCUGCUAAAAUAAUCGGUUUUUCUCUGCAUGAGCUUCUGUCAUUAGAUGAAAGGUCAUGGAUAUAAUAUGAAUCUGGAACGAUAAAUACAGUGCAAAAUGGAUUGAAAUGCACAUGGCAAAGAGGGUUUCCAAUUAAAAAACACUUUGCCGAGCUUGCACCAAACAAACAGUCACACAGCCUCUGAUUUCUUUGCUUAUAAUUAGCUGCCAUUGAAAGUUAAUUACUUUCAGGACUGAAGGAAAUGAAAGUUAAAGGGGAAAAAAAGGAAAAAAAAAUCUUUAAGAGGGUUGCAGUGGAAAAUAAAUCUUAAGUUUUUGCAUAGCACCUGUUCUGUGGAGAUGGGGAAAAACAGUUCAGGUUUUUUGCAUCCUAGAAACUAGAGCUGGAAAAAGAGACAUGAGUACAUGUGGCACUUGGGAUGCAUUCCUGGGUUCCUUUGGAGGCUCUGCAUCCGCAGCCUAUCCCAGAAGGUGUAUGCGAGUUUCAGAUGAGAUCCCUGAUGUGAUGGUACUGUGUGAAGGACAGCUACCACAGAAGGCCAGAAGCUCUGCUCCCCAUUUCAUAGCCUGUCCUCAGAACCCACCCAACCCAGGGACCAUUCCUGAAUUCUCUCAUCUGUCCUGAGUGCCCCAAGUACUGGACUUCUUACCUCUUUUUCCCAGCCACGCUGGAGGUACCUACUGUAGUUAGAGCACAUGUUAAUUCAAAACAAGACAUCUGAGACUAAGUGUUUAUAUGCACAGGUGAGAGUACAGUUGCUUAUUUAAAAGAUAAUCAUGCUAUUUUAGACUACACAGCGAUAUUUCCUCCAGUUAAAAAAAAAAUAAAAAAAAAGCAAAAGGCUGAAGAGCCCAGGAUUUGCAGUGCUGGUUAUUCUUGAUGCCUCCAUUUUUAGAGCACUGUGAUUGAGAGCUAAGAAAGCUGUGUUUGUUUGCAGCAGUUCUUGCUGUACUUUCCACUGAUCAGGCUGCUUCAGUGUUUUCAAGUUGGGCACCUGUAGGACCAACUGUGCAGUCAAGUCACCCUCGAAUCAGUCUCUGUAAGUGAUGGUGUCUAUCUCCUUUGUAGCAAGCUGCAAAAAGCUUGGUAAGGGACAGAGAAAUGUAUGUUCCUUCUCCAUAAAGGCAGUAAACUUCAAAUUCAGAGAAGGCAGGUGCAAGUUUGUUCUUUAUUCACUCAAGUUUCAUGAAUCAAACAGAUACUUUGGUUUAUCUCAUUAUUAUUAAUUACAUCAGCAUACUACCCUUUGCUGUAGGUGAAGCUUUGGCAUACUUAAGGAACAUGACAGGCUGUGGUGAUUCCAGAAGAGGGGACCAUGUUUACUCUCCUUAAAGCAUCAGGGUAUAAGAUUCAAAAUGUCAAGAAUGAGUGAGAUCCUUUACCAACACUAGAUCUUACGCUCAAAUUUUGAGGUAAAAGCAAGCCAUUCUGAAUCUAAGUUGGUGUAGAAGGGCUCUGUUUCUCCUCCGUUACCUUUAGGGUCUCCUUUCUUGUGCUGACACCAAAACACAAAAUAAGAGGGCAUGCAGAACGUAUGCUGGGUACAGCAACCUGUUUAAAUAAAGGGGGAGGUGCUUUAUGAGGCAGAGGGGCAGCUGAUAGUUAAGCCUUCUCUUUCCCUUUGCAGAAAGGGAAUGGAAUAAUCCAUUCAAUUACAGAAGGCAAAACACUUUGCACUCCUCGUGAUGUAUCCCAUGUUUUUUAUGUAAAGGGAAGACUUGGAAAAAUGAAGCAACUCGUUUCACUUGAUAAGCCAGUGAGACCAUCUGUAGGCUGCUUCAAGCUUUCCUUCCAGCCAAGGAACCAGGAGUUAUCCCUAAUCCUUUCCUCCAGGGGCACAGGCCAGCCUAUCCUUUGAGGAACCGGGCUCCCUUUGAGCAUCCCUCCCAUUGGUGUUCCUAAACCUUCUUGGGGAAGGCUGACGGAAGCUUUUGGAAGGGGCAGGAGGAAAAUACAGCAAUUUCAUUUCACUUGGAGUCACCAUGGCAGCAAAUUACUCCUUCUUUCCCACACCUUGUUUAAAAAGAAAAUGGGGAGUAACAAUGGCAAGCGAGGCCUUCAGUGAGAGUGAGCAGUAGAAACUCAUUUACAGCUGAAAAAUAUAUAGAAAAGAAGUCAGGAAACUAUUGAAUGAUUUGUAAAGGGAGCAUGGUUUUCUUGUUUGCUGUUCCAUUCAGUGUCCUCUGUGUUAAUCUCUUAGAAGAGAGACAGGCCAUUUUCUCAGCCAAGAACAAUUUACCUGUGUGCUGGCACACAGUUAAGAGCAAUUUAGAAAACAAAAAAAUACAAAAAAAUCCCCUUCCAAAUUAACAUUUAGCUGGUGACGUUAAGGGAAUUAUUCUUUCUUUUCCCUCCCAUUCAGAAGUUGAGGAACCAGGAGCAUUCUUGCUCUCUGAAUGCCUCCGAAGCCUGCUGUGUGCAGGCGUGGGGCGCAGCGUGCCCUGAGGGGCUGGGGGCCAGGCUCUUGUGGGUCCUGAGUGCCACAAGCACAUAGUUUUAGCACAGGGCUUCUUUCCCACUUGGCACAUUGGCAGCUCUUUGGGCCCAGUGCUUCUGUGAGGAGCUGCAGCUACGUGUGGGGAGCGUGCUGGCUGUUUGAGCUCGGCUCUACCACCCUGGUGCCUGGUGGCAGCGCCUGGUUUCCAGCUGAUGGUGCGAUCCCCUUCUGUCUGUUCAGCAGCACCAUAAUGCGUGUGUGUAGCUGGCACAGGAGGUAACCAACCCUCCUGGUUCUGCAGAUUGCAUUUCAAAGUCCUCAUGGAGCCAGAGGAAAGGAGUGCAUCUCCCAAACCGACCAGCGCAGUCCAGCAAACCGAGGCUGUGCCCUUGCCUUACCCCUACCUAUUCACAUGGAUGCAGCACAGCUGCAUUUUUACCAGGGUGGAUGCUGUGGGACACGAGGAUGUGCCUUGUACACUGCUGGCUUGACCACCCCAUCUCACAACUGUCUCCCCCUCCACAGUGCCCCUCCUGGCAGCGAUUAUUAGAGACAAACCGGGGUCUCCCCUGCAGGAUAAAACCCCCUUGUAUGUGAGUGCUCCCAUCUUCCAACCCCCAUAUUCCUGCAGGGCCUCAGUUUAAAAUAAAGAUGAGAAUGGCUCCAGGAGUAACCAUUUUCCUGGUUGUAUACAGCCUGUGUUCCCACUCAUCCUCUGCCUUCUUUCUCCGUCAGAAAUCCCUGAGCCUUCCCCUGCCUCCCCGGAGCAGUCCGCCCCAUCAUCUAUUCCGCUGCCGUACGUGCCGCGUUUGUUUCUUUUUCUUUUUAUUUAAUUUAAUAAAAACAGGAGUGCGGGGGCUGAUUUGCAUAUUCAUGGCUCACUUGAUUAAUAAUUGAUGAGAGGGCCUGGGGCAGGUGGUUGAGAAUAAAAAACAUUUAGCAGGGAGCAGAGGGGAAGGAACAGAGCCCCGGCUGGCACGUGUCCGCAGGGGGAAGAGCUGCCGGGGGCUGGCGGGGAGGGAAGGGGAGAGGCAGCAGUCGACACAGUGUUGAAUGUCACCAGCGGAAUGUAAUUUUGUCUAUUUAAAUAUUUAAUCACGUCCUCCGAAGCUGUGACAUUUCGAGUCCCGGGGGCUUUUCCUCCAUCCAGCUUACGGGUAGGAGAGGCAGGGGCAGGGAGGUUUCUCUCCCCGGCGUGGGAGGAGAGGAGGGCAGGCCAGGGAUCGCGGGGAGCCCUGUGAUGGGAUGGUGUUUGCUGGUAGGAAUCCGGAGAGUUUGGAGGGAGCUGGGGUUUGAUAGUCUCGUGCCAGAUCUGUUUGCAGCCCAGAAGUUCAAAGUUAUUUUCAUGCCAGGCACAACUGCUGGCUUCAGGUGCUGUAAGACCUCGUUUCUGGCAGGGAGCAUCCCCCGUGUGGUAGCAGGGGGUGGGGGGCAGCUAAGAGCACACCAGCUUCUUGGGAUCUCGUUCAGUGAAGCAGCAAUGUUGGCUCCCUCUUCCCUCCCCAAAUCCCCCUCCUGCUCUCCCCUGCAAGGCUUUGCCAAAUAAAUGUGCCAAAUAAACAGUGCUAGGCUUAGGCUUUAAUCGACCUCCAGGGUCUGAGGGCAGGAAGGUGAGGUAUUGCUCCAUGCUUUUUUUAGAGUGAUCUGAAUACAUACAUCCUGAAUACAGAUAUCCCAUAGCGUUCAUCUCGGGCUCUGCUGUUGCUUCUUUUCUCCUAAAAGUGCUGCUGAGAAAACAUUUUGGGUGGCUCAGUGAUGGAUCUGGUACUGCAGAUGUGGCAGAGGUAGGGAGACAUGGCUAGUGCAGGAGCAGCCAUAAAAACUCCAGCCUUACUUAUGUUGUUAAAUUAAUGGUUUUAGUUUCCAGCUUUGUUAUUAAGGCUCUUGGAAGGUGGUGUGAUGAGCACCCUUGUGUCAGUAGCUGGAUUUUUACUGCUUGUCUGCAUAACAAGCAGAGCAGGGCUGGAUUUUCCAUGCUGAUGAGGUAAAGGCUUCCAUUGGUAGCAGUGGUGCAAAGUCUCCCUGCUGCCUCCUCAAAGGCCAGGGCUACUCUGAACUCACUGAGCAGAAAAUAAAUGUCAGUCUGGAGCGAUUCUCACCCAGGACUGGAUUCUGAUGCUUCUGGUGUCUGCAUAUUCCAGUGUCCAUUCCCAUUGACUGUGACAACACAGAUCUGGUGGGGGAAACUUGGAUCCACAACAGAUUUUUUUUAUCUUUCCGUGGGUGGUUUGAUGGUUUAUUUAUGAAUGGUCUUCACGGAUCAAAACCAAAAGCAGCCUUAAAUAAUAGCCCAAGGAGACGCUGACCAAUUCAUUCCAUUAAAGUCUAGCUGUCUAUUAAUAAAUGGUCAGACGAUACAUUAUGGAGCAGAGAUAAGUAAUUGCAUAAAUCCUAAGUAGUUAUUUAUCAAUUAUAUGGUAUUUAAUGAUGCAACUCUUCUCGUUGCUCUGCUUGCUGCUGGACAAAGGGAUCAGCUGUGAGCUUUGCACCCUCAUUGCUGUGGUGCCGCCUCUCCCAGUGGUCCCUAAUGGGGGAGCUGGGAUCUUGACGGGCUCUGAACUGGCUUUAGCUCCUACAUUGGCACCUGUCCUUACAGUACCCCAAUGGGUCUCUCUAAUGAGACACCUGGCACGCUACAUUUUUGUAAACGUAUCAAGGAAAGUUGCAAGGGUAUAUCCUGUCUUGUGUUCCCUUUGACUUGUCUUUUCAAGAUAAAGAAAGCAGACAAAACUUCAAUGCGUGGAGUAAUCUGAGUAUCCUGCAAUUCUGUCUUUUCUCAGGAUUUAGUACAUGCUUUGGUAACUUCAUACUCCUGUUCUCUACCCCCCUGAAAAUCAUCCCAGAAUGUCAAGGACUGAUUCAAAUUAGUACAUGAAAUAAAGCAGCUCCUCUAGUCUUUGCAGCUAAACUUUUUUUGAGCUGAAAAA